CCUACGGGGGGCUGCAGUCGAGAAUCUUUCACAAUGGGGGCAACCCUGAUGGAGCGACGCCGCGUGGAGGAUAAGGUCUUCGGAUUGUAAACUCCUGUCAUGCGAGAACAAGGUUGCAGGGCUAACACCUUUGCAAAUUGAUGGUACCGCAAGAGGAAGAGACGGCUAACUCUGUGCCAGCAGCCGCGGUAAUACAGAGGUCUCAAGAGUUGGUCGGAAUCGCUCGUCGGUGGCGUGGUGUGUGUGGUGUGAAAGCCCGGGGCUCAACCUCGGAAUUGCAUCCGAUACUGCCAUGCUGGAGUACUGAAGAGGUGACUAGAAUUCUAGGUGUAGCAGUGAAAUGCGUAGAUAUCUAGAGGAAUACCAACGGCGAAGGCAGGUCACUGGGCAGUUACUGACACUGAGGCACGAAGGCCAGGGGAGCAAACGGGAUUAGAUACCCUGGUAGUC
RNAcentral lists this ribosomal RNA (450 nucleotides) under uncultured bacterium. RNAcentral describes it as "partial 16S ribosomal RNA". It matches the Rfam family "Bacterial small subunit ribosomal RNA", at positions 338 to 795 of the family's 1533-position model. The record is from RNAcentral.